Molecule: long non-coding RNA, 338 nt
Organism: Numida meleagris (helmeted guineafowl)
Lineage: Eukaryota; Metazoa; Chordata; Aves; Galliformes; Numididae
Exons: 4
Source: RefSeq, a predicted model, not a curated record
CUGCGCCCCGGGCAGAGCAGUCGGUGCAGAGCGACGGCGCCGAGAGGACGUGGAGAGCGGAGGAGAGGAGAGCAAAGCCAGAAAGUGACCGAGGAGCAAUCCCACAGCGUGCCUGGGGGUCGUUCCACUUCCAGCUCCAGCUGCCGGCAGUGAGCGGCGAAGCCAUGGCGGAGGAGUUGCGGGAGUCACUGCUGGCAGCCACAGCUCAAUUGGCCGCAAGGCGGCAGGAGGUGAUGGAGAUCAGGAGGAGGCGUGUGCAGCUGGAGCAGGCCAAAUGGGAACAAACAGAAAUCAACGAGGCCCUGCUGCAGGAAAUUGAGGAGCUCCGAGCGGCUCAG